AACAAAGAUGAAGCAAACGCCAGCCUUGCGGUCUGAACGCCCACAACUCCCCAUUGCAAAAGACUGAUUUUCCACCCGCAUAACUGGUGUCAAACGUUUCCCUUUCAACAAUUUCACGCACUGUUUAACUCUCUUUUCAAAGUUCUUUUCAUCUUUCCC
RNAcentral lists this ribosomal RNA (159 nucleotides) under uncultured zygomycete. Its description in RNAcentral is "5.8S ribosomal RNA". The record is from RNAcentral. Lineage: Eukaryota; Fungi.